UACGAAGGGGGCUAGCGUUGCUCGGAAUCACUGGGCGUAAAGGGUGCGUAGGCGGGUCUUUAAGUCAGGGGUGAAAUCCUGGAGCUCAACUCCAGAACUGCCUUUGAUACUGAAGAUCUUGAGUUCGGGAGAGGUGAGUGGAACUGCGAGUGUAGAGGUGAAAUUCGUAGAUAUUCGCAAGAACACCAGUGGCGAAGGCGGCCAUCUGGACCAACACUGACACUGAGGCACAAAAGCGUGGGGAGCAAACAGG
This 253-nucleotide ribosomal RNA is filed under the name uncultured bacterium. RNAcentral's name for it is "partial 16S ribosomal RNA". It matches the Rfam family "Bacterial small subunit ribosomal RNA", at positions 524 to 776 of the family's 1533-position model. The record is from RNAcentral.